UGGCACUUGCCAAAAAUGAAACCGAAACGGCAGAGAUUAGUAAAUCAUUGAAAGUCUUUGAGGUAAUAAGAAA
RNAcentral lists this non-coding RNA (73 nucleotides) under unclassified sequences. RNAcentral's name for it is "RT-18 RNA". It matches the Rfam family "RT-18 RNA". Rfam says of the family: Clostridiales (Firmicutes). Nearby to self-splicing intron genes The record is from Rfam by way of RNAcentral.